RNAcentral lists this long non-coding RNA (310 nucleotides) under Lepisosteus oculatus (spotted gar). Its description in RNAcentral is "lncRNA (ENSLOCG00000022181.1)". The record is from RNAcentral. Lineage: Eukaryota; Metazoa; Chordata; Actinopteri; Semionotiformes; Lepisosteidae.
CAGAGAUGCAACACGUGCUUGCAAAGGGGUGUGUUCAUCCAGGAAAUAAGCCAGGUUUCCUCUCCUGUUCGGGCCUGAGGUGCGACCUCUGUGACUUGCCACGUCCAGCCACGGACGAGCCACACACUUGGCACUGCCAGAGCACGAGGAAGCUGAAAGCCUUUCAGAGGACAGAAAGAAGCGGAGCAGACGUGCCUGGACAGGAGAGCAGAUAAGCAGGAACGUCACCGAGCCUGACUGGUACAUCACUGUGACAGUCCCGCACACACAGCCGAAGGAAUUCACCUCACCUGGGUGGCAACAGUGAGAG